Molecule: long non-coding RNA, 1580 nt
Organism: Mustela lutreola (European mink)
Lineage: Eukaryota; Metazoa; Chordata; Mammalia; Carnivora; Mustelidae
Exons: 3
Source: RefSeq, a predicted model, not a curated record
AUGGGGAGCAGUGUGAAGUUCUGAAGGGGUGAUCAGAGGAGUCUUCCUACAGAGGGCAGCGCCUUUGAAACUGGAUUUGGAAAACCUUUGGAUGUAUAAUAUCUGUCCAAAGAAGUGUAUAAAUUACAAGUGUUGGACUCAAUGAACUUCCAUAAGGUGAACAUUCCCUCAUAGGUAGCACCCAGAUGAAGAAACAAAGAACUUUCAGGGCACCUGGCUGGUUCCAUCGGUAGAGAAUGCAACUCCUGAUCUUGGGGUGUUGGUGGGCAUGUGGGCUGUUUCCAGUCUCACUGGAUUUUAAAGGAAGGGAGAAACUGGCUGACGGAGAAGGAUGGAAGGUUCCAGCAACCAACCAGGCAGGCGCCCUUGUCUUCAUUUUACUCACAAGGACACGGAAGCCCAGAGAAGUGGAAGAAUAACCCCUGCUUUACACAGCUGGUCAACGGCAGAACCAAGAUGUGACGACCUGCCAGCUCAGAGCCAUUGAGGGUCGGAGAGCUUAAAUAAUUCAUUAAUAAAAUAACAUCUCAGAGUUGAACUCACCAACGUCUGAUGCCAGAAAAGUAGCUCUUUCCAAGAGGCCCACAAUACUCCCCUCCAACGUGGAAAAGGGGCCACCAGUGUAGGGUACUACCUCCUGACUGGCACAGGACCCCCAGGAAGGCCUCGCCCCAAAGGGAAACCAGGUGGAAAAAUCCAAGGGCACUCAAGAAUUUUACCUCAUACUCGGGAAGGGGACCAUUUCAGGGUCACCAGAGGCUUCCAGGAUAUGUGGGGUUGGCCCCAAGGUUGGAGGUAGGCUGAGCAAAAGACCACCCUGGCAGGACCUCAUCCUUAGUCACCUGGAGCACCUGGAGGUGCUCACCCAUGUCCCUGGGCUGAGAAGUGGCCAGCAGGGCCCAAGUCCCAGCGCCACCCCCAUGGCACUUUUGGAUUGUUUCCUCCUGCUUUGAGCUAAACCUGGGACAGAGGUGCCCUGACAUAAGGUCUCCAGGGGCCACAGGCCCCCCUCCCAGCCCCCAGACUGCAGAUUAAUGACAGGAAAAGGAAAGAACUGGGGCCCGGUGGUGAGUUUUCUCUCCCCAACAAAGCCCACUUCCGUCGCCGGGCCUGCCCUCUGUCAUGCUUUCCAGACUCGCAGUCCCUGGGGCUUCUGGGGCGACUCUCAGCCUCCCGGUCUGCAGACCAAACUGAGGGGCAGUGAAGGGAAGGCCAUAACAGGUCCCAUCGAUCUAUAAAUAGCAGCCCAGCCUGCCCUGCUUGGACCCAGGCCAGCCUGGUGCCCACCCUCUCUCUCUGUUCCCUCUUUUCCAGGCAAUAAGAGGAGGAAGUUAUCCAGGCAGCUGCAUCCUAGCCAUUCAAGAGGAGGAAAUAAACAAAAGGUGGAGGACAGAGGGGGAAAGAAAGGGGGAAAAAGAGGAAAGAAUAGUGGGUGGGUGAAACCAAGGAAGGAGGAAGGAGGAGAUGCCUGGGAACCCGAGUGGUCACCUCAUGGUCAUGCCGUCCCCUGCCUAUGCCCACUUGUGGCCGCCCCUUUCCCAACUCCCCAGUGUAGCACAGAAGAGGCUUUUUUUUUUUUU